This 73-nucleotide transfer RNA is filed under the name Cricetulus griseus (Chinese hamster). It matches the Rfam family "tRNA". Rfam says of the family: Transfer RNA (tRNA) molecules are approximately 80 nucleotides in length. Their secondary structure includes four short double-helical elements and three loops (D, anti-codon, and T loops). The record is from Rfam by way of RNAcentral. Lineage: Eukaryota; Metazoa; Chordata; Mammalia; Rodentia; Cricetidae.
GAAGGUGUGGUUCAGCUGGCAGAGUGCCUGCCUAGCAUGCAUGAAGCCCUGGGUUCAAGCCCCAGCACCAGUA